Molecule: ribosomal RNA, 253 nt
Filed under: uncultured bacterium
Lineage: Bacteria
Description: partial 16S ribosomal RNA
Rfam family: Bacterial small subunit ribosomal RNA
Source: RNAcentral
UACGUAUGGAGCAAGCGUUAUCCGGAUUUACUGGGUGUAAAGGGUGCGUAGGCGGCACAGCAAGUCAGAUGUGAAAGACCGGGGCUCAACCCCGGGGCUGCAUUUGAAACUGCCGAGCUUGAGUCCGGGAGAGGCAGGCGGAAUUCCUAGUGUAGCGGUGAAAUGCGUAGAUAUUAGGAGGAACACCAGUGGCGAAGGCGGCCUGCUGGACCGGAACUGACGCUGAGGCACGAACGCGUGGGGAGCAAACAGG